This 511-nucleotide long non-coding RNA is filed under the name Homo sapiens (human). RNAcentral's name for it is "non-protein coding BOK-AS1:4". The record is from RNAcentral. Lineage: Eukaryota; Metazoa; Chordata; Mammalia; Primates; Hominidae.
GCAGUACCUGCCCACAAAGGCCCACGGAGCCAUGGCUUCUUCCCAGUGGUGAUCCCUGAUGGGCUGGAAGGUGACCGAACCGCUUGUCCUUUAUAAGCUGGGCUUGCUGCUUGCCGUUGAGGAAGAGCUUGUCAUGGGUGUCAGCGUUUAAAAGUGGAAUUUCCUGAGGCUGGAAGUCCAGAAGUCGGGGUGCUGGCAGGACGUGCUCUUCUGAAGCCUCCAGGGCAGGGCCAGCCGCAUGCCCGUCUCCUCGCUUGGGCACCUGCCAGCGGUCCCCGGCGGUCCCCGGCUCAUUGCUGCAUGGCUCCAACGUCCGCCUCUCCCACCAUGUGGCCUCCUCCUGGUGUCUCUGUGUCCAAAUCUCCCGCUCUGUCUAAGGAUAACAGUCACUGGUCAUGGGACCCAUCCUAAUCCAGGGUGACCUCGUAUUAACCUCAUCACAUCUGCAAAGACUAUUUCCAAGUCAAGCCACACUCCCAGCUGCUGGGGGCGGGACUUGAACAUAUUUUUU